This 315-nucleotide ribosomal RNA is filed under the name Triticum aestivum (bread wheat). Its description in RNAcentral is "partial small subunit ribosomal RNA". Lineage: Eukaryota; Viridiplantae; Streptophyta; Magnoliopsida; Poales; Poaceae. The record is from RNAcentral.
AUGGCCGUGAUAAAGGUGCGAGUGAGCAAACUCCGCAAGGCAAAGAGUGUUGAGGACAGCAGGCACAAGAGGGCCAAUGGCGAGGCACCAGUUGAGCCUCAGCAGAGGGAAGUUUGUGCAUUCUGCGACGAUGGUGGUGAUUUAAUCUGCUGUGAUGGUGGAUGUCUGAGAUCCUUCCACCCAACCAAAGGACAUGGUGAAAGAUCAAUGUGCACAACCCUUGGGCUAAAUGAAGCAAAGUGGCAAAAGCAUAAAGCACUAGCGGAAAAGGGGUUAUAUUUGUGCGAGAACUGCAAGCAUAAGCAGCAUCAAUGA